GUUCUGACUCUUUAUUGCCGUUGACUUUGUUACUGUUGAGUCAGGAUGGGAUUGAAAAGCUCCAAUCAACUUGAAACUCAGCUUCAGUGUGAUGUCGGUGUCUGUUGUCAGUGUCAGUGAUGUUGAACAGGUUUCUGACCUGCUGGACAGAACCACACGUCUGUUCUACUUUAGUGAACUUUUAUGAAGUACAAAAUAUGGGACAAAAACUUUUAACGCAGUUUAUCCUAAAGUCUUGGACAAAAUAACAAAAUGCAUCUAAACUAACUUUAUGUGGAUAUUUACAAUAAUUAAUGUGAAAACAAGGCGAAAUACACAGAGUACUCUGGAAGUAAACAUGUCACAGGAUUCCAGAAGGCCUGUAAUUAUUAAGGCCUAACAAGCUUCAAAUCUAAAUCAGGUUUUAUUGUAAUUUCAAAAAUCCUUGUUUCUGGUUUUAAAGAUUUCGGUGCGUGUCUUGAUGAUUUUUGGAACAACAACUCAAUUGUCUAUAAACUGAGACAGAGAAAAAACUGUUUAACUCUUUAAAAACCCUAAAGAAACUUUACUGUCAGUUUGAAUGAACUCAAAGGUGGAAUGUGAUUGGCUGAUGCUGGGAGAAAAAGGUUGAGACCUGAUGGAUAGAAAUACAGAAAAGGACCAUUAGCUCUGAAGGCUCUGGGCUGUACAUAACAAACCUUCAAAUAAGAAGUAAUCAUUGGAGAGUUUUUUUUUCUACUGUCUCACGAUGAACUAAUGUUCCCUUCACGUCCUGCUGCUCUGCUACCGUUAAUUCUACAACCUUGUUUGUUUUUGCUUCUCCGUCACACUGCUGUUUGGUUUCAUUUUUUUUUUUUUUUUAAUGCCAAAACGUAGCUUCGUCAUACAAACAGCAAACAACGUUGUCAGUGUGUGAAAAGAAAAUUGUAACAGUGUAGAACACAUUGUGUAUACUUCAUGGAUUUCAAUAUAAAGAUAUCAACACAGAAA
Long non-coding RNA from Cynoglossus semilaevis (tongue sole), 969 nucleotides. RefSeq lists it as uncharacterized. The transcript is spliced from 2 exons. The record is from RefSeq and is a predicted model, not a curated record. Lineage: Eukaryota; Metazoa; Chordata; Actinopteri; Pleuronectiformes; Cynoglossidae.